RNAcentral lists this ribosomal RNA (253 nucleotides) under uncultured bacterium. RNAcentral describes it as "partial 16S ribosomal RNA". It matches the Rfam family "Bacterial small subunit ribosomal RNA", at positions 524 to 776 of the family's 1533-position model. The record is from RNAcentral.
UACGUAGGUGGCAAGCGUUGUCCGGAUUUACUGGGCGUAAAGAGCGCGCAGGCGGUCGUGCAAGUCGCGUGUGAAAGCCCCCGGCUCAACUGGGGAGGGUCACGCGAUACUGCUCGACUUGAAGGCAGGAGAGGAAAGUGGAAUUCCCGGUGUAGUGGUGAAAUGCGUAGAUAUCGGGAGGAACACCAGUGGCGAAGGCGACUUCCUGGCCUGUUCUUGACGCUGAGGCGCGAAAGCUAGGGUAGCAAACGGG